This 497-nucleotide ribosomal RNA is filed under the name uncultured bacterium. RNAcentral describes it as "partial 16S ribosomal RNA". It matches the Rfam family "Bacterial small subunit ribosomal RNA", at positions 28 to 507 of the family's 1533-position model. The record is from RNAcentral.
GAUGAACGCUGGCGGCGUGCCUAAUACAUGCAAGUCGAGCGAACAGACGAGGAGCUUGCUCCUCUGACGUUAGCGGCGGACGGGUGAGUAACACGUGGAUAACCUACCUAUAAGACUGGGAUAACUUCGGGAAACCGGAGCUAAUACCGGAUAAUAUAUUGAACCGCAUGGUUCAAUAGUGAAAGACGGUUUUGCUGUCACUUAUAGAUGGAUCCGCGCCGCAUUAGCUAGUUGGUGGGGUAACGGCUUACCAAGGCAACGAUGCGUAGCCGACCUGAGAGGGUGAUCGGCCACACUGGAACUGAGACACGGUCCAGACUCCUACGGGAGGCAGCAGUAGGGAAUCUUCCGCAAUGGGCGAAAGCCUGACGGAGCAACGCCGCGUGAGUGGUGAAGGUCUUCGGAUCGUAAAACUCUGUUAUUAGGGAAGAACAAAUGUGUAAGUAACUAUGCACGUCUUGACGGUACCUAAUCAGAAAGCCACGGCUAACUACGUG